GACGAACGCUGGCGGCGUGCUUAACACAUGCAAGUCGAACGGAAAGGCCCUGCUUUUGUGGGGUGCUCGAGUGGCGAACGGGUGAGUAACACGUGAGUAACCUGCCCUUGACUUUGGGAUAACUUCAGGAAACUGGGGCUAAUACCGGAUAGGAGCUCCUGCUGCAUGGUGGGGGUUGGAAAGUUUCGGCGGUUGGGGAUGGACUCGCGGCUUAUCAGCUUGUUGGUGGGGUAGUGGCUUACCAAGGCUUUGACGGGUAGCCGGCCUGAGAGGGUGACCGGCCACAUUGGGACUGAGAUACGGACCAGACUCCUACGGGAGGCAGCAGUGGGGAAGAGUACACAAUGGGCGGAAGCCUGAUGCAGCAACGCCGCGUGGGGGAAGACGGCCUUCGGGUAGUAAACCGCUUUCGCCUGUGACGAAGCGUGAGUGACGGUAAUGGGUAAAGAAGCACCGGCUAACUACGUG
This 468-nucleotide ribosomal RNA is filed under the name uncultured bacterium. Its description in RNAcentral is "partial 16S ribosomal RNA". It matches the Rfam family "Bacterial small subunit ribosomal RNA", at positions 28 to 507 of the family's 1533-position model. The record is from RNAcentral.